Molecule: ribosomal RNA, 440 nt
Filed under: uncultured bacterium
Lineage: Bacteria
Description: partial 16S ribosomal RNA
Rfam family: Bacterial small subunit ribosomal RNA
Source: RNAcentral
CCUACGGGGGGCAGCAGUGGGGAAUAUUGGACAAUGGGGGGAACCCUGAUCCAGCGACGCCGCGUGAGUGAAGAAGUAUUUCGGUAUGUAAAGCUCUAUCAGCAGGGAAGAAAAUGACGGUACCUGACUAAGAAGCCCCGGCUAACUACGUGCCAGCAGCCGCGGUAAUACGUAGGGGGCAAGCGUUAUCCGGAUUUACUGGGUGUAAAGGGAGCGUAGGCGGCGAUGCAAGUCAGAAGUGAAAGCCCGGGGCUCAACUCCGGGACUGCUUUUGAAACUGUAUGGCUAGAUUGCAGGAGAGGCAAGUGGAAUUCCUAGUGUAGCGGUGAAAUGCGUAGAUAUUAGGAGGAACACCAGUGGCGAAGGCGGCUUGCUGGACUGUAAAUGACGCUGAGGCUCGAAAGCGUGGGGAGCAAACAGGAUUAGAUACCCUUGUAGUC